CGUGUUACAAUGGCAGGUACAGAGGGAUGCUACCGGGCGACCGGAUGCGGAUCUCGAAAGCCUGUCCCAGUUCGGACUGGAGUCUGCAACCCGACUCCACGAAGUUGGAUUCGCUAGUAAUCGCGCAUCAGCCAUGGCGCGGUGAAUACGUUCCCGGGCCUUGUACACACCGCCCGUCAAGCCAUGGGAGCCGGGGGCGCCUGAAGUCCGGGACCGCGAGGACCGGCCUAGGGCGAAACUGGUAACUGGGGCUAAGUCGUAACAAGGUAGC
RNAcentral lists this ribosomal RNA (271 nucleotides) under uncultured bacterium. Its description in RNAcentral is "partial 16S ribosomal RNA". It matches the Rfam family "Bacterial small subunit ribosomal RNA", at positions 1221 to 1500 of the family's 1533-position model. The record is from RNAcentral.